This is a non-coding RNA of Aedes albopictus (Asian tiger mosquito), 58 nucleotides long. Lineage: Eukaryota; Metazoa; Arthropoda; Insecta; Diptera; Culicidae. The record is from Rfam.
UAGCCUUGUGGAUAAGGCUUCGGAUCGCCAAUCCGGAGACGGCGGGUUCGAUUCCCGU